Molecule: long non-coding RNA, 577 nt
Organism: Armigeres subalbatus
Lineage: Eukaryota; Metazoa; Arthropoda; Insecta; Diptera; Culicidae
Exons: 3
Source: RefSeq, a predicted model, not a curated record
CUCGACUAAUAAAUUUGAUUUCGACGAGAAAAUAAUGUCGUUGCUCACCGGUUGAAAAAAAAGGAAAAAAUCAAAAAUAGAUUAAUUUGCAGAGAGUGCUAAAGGAUUUGGCUGCUCAUGGCCUCUUGGCCAUAAAUACCAGUGGAUCCGUCCGAAAUUCAAGAUUGCUGGACAGUUACCUUGAGCCAAUUGGACGAAACCGAUCCGUUGUACUUGCGGAAAAAGUUUUUCAAUAAAGUUUGGUGUUUGGUGGUGGAGAUCUUCUGUACUCGAGUACACACCGGAGAAAAGCCAUACAAAUGCAUUUGCUCGAACGAACGACCAUUCGCACAGCUCAAAUAGAUAUUUUACGCUGCACAUCCGGCGGCACACGGAGAAAACGCCGUACGUAACGCCGUAACGAACGAUUCAUCCAGGGGACGGCCUUGCGGCCCAUCAGUGAACCGCAGGUCACUAUAUGAAAGACGUAGAUAUGAACGGUACACGAUGGCGUCAUAAUAGUUCGAUUCAGUGUUUGUGUAUUUUUCCUCAAAGCAUGAUGUGUUUUUCGGUGAUUGGAGAGUUCUGCAGGAGGAUG